GAUGAACGCUGGCGGCGUGCCUAAUACAUGCAAGUAGAACGCUGAAGGAGGAGCUUGCUCUUCUGGAUGAGUUGCGAACGGGUGAGUAACGCGUAGGUAACCUGCCUGGUAGCGGGGGAUAACUAUUGGAAACGAUAGCUAAUACCGCAUGACAACAGUUAUUGCAUGAUAACUGUUUAAAAGGGGCAACUGCUCCACUACCAGAUGGACCUGCGUUGUAUUAGCUAGUUGGUGAGGUAACGGCUCACCAAGGCGACGGUACAUAGCCGACCUGAGAGGGUGAUCGGCCAAACUGGGAAGGAGACACGGCCCAGACUCCUACGGGAGGCAGCAGUAGGGGAUCUUCGGCAAUGGACGGAAGGCUGAACGAGGAACGCCGCGUGAGUGAAGAAGGUUUUCGGAUCGGAAAGCUCUGUUGUAAGAGAAGAACGAGUGUGAGAGUGGAAAGUUCACACUGUGACGGUAUCUAACCAGAAAGGGACGGCUAACUACGUG
RNAcentral lists this ribosomal RNA (495 nucleotides) under uncultured bacterium. Its description in RNAcentral is "partial 16S ribosomal RNA". It matches the Rfam family "Bacterial small subunit ribosomal RNA", at positions 28 to 507 of the family's 1533-position model. The record is from RNAcentral.